This 724-nucleotide ribosomal RNA is filed under the name uncultured bacterium. RNAcentral describes it as "bacterial SSU rRNA". It matches the Rfam family "Bacterial small subunit ribosomal RNA", at positions 807 to 1533 of the family's 1533-position model. The record is from RNAcentral.
CGAUGUCUACUAGUUGUCGGGUCUUAAUUGACUUGGUAACGCAGCUAACGCGUGAAGUAGACCGCCUGGGGAGUACGGUCGCAAGAUUAAAACUCAAAGGAAUUGACGGGGACCCGCACAAGCGGUGGAUGAUGUGGAUUAAUUCGAUGCAACGCGAAAAACCUUACCUACCCUUGACAUGGCAGGAAUUCCGAAGAGAUUUGGAAGUGCUCGCAAGAGAACCUGCACACAGGUGCUGCAUGGCUGUCGUCAGCUCGUGUCGUGAGAUGUUGGGUUAAGUCCCGCAACGAGCGCAACCCUUGUCAUUAGUUGCUACGAAAGGGCACUCUAAUGAGACUGCCGGUGACAAACCGGAGGAAGGUGGGGAUGACGUCAAGUCCUCAUGGCCCUUAUGGGUAGGGCUUCACACGUCAUACAAUGGUACAUACAGAGGGCCGCCAACCCGCGAGGGGGAGCUAAUCCCAGAAAGUGUAUCGUAGUCCGGAUUGUAGUCUGCAACUCGACUACAUGAAGUUGGAAUCGCUAGUAAUCGCGGAUCAGCAUGUCGCGGUGAAUACGUUCCCGGGUCUUGUACACACCGCCCGUCACACCAUGGGAGCGGGUUCUGCCAGAAGUAGGUAGCUUAACCGUAAGGAGGGCGCUUACCACGGCAGGGUUCGUGACUGGGGUGAAGUCGUAACAAGGUAGCCGUAUCGGAAGGUGCGGCUGGAUCACCUCCUUUCUG